Molecule: ribosomal RNA, 492 nt
Filed under: uncultured bacterium
Lineage: Bacteria
Description: partial 16S ribosomal RNA
Rfam family: Bacterial small subunit ribosomal RNA
Source: RNAcentral
AGUGAACGCUGGCGGUAGGCCUAACACAUGCAAGUCGAACGGCAGCACAGUAAGAGCUUGCUCUUACGGGUGGCGAGUGGCGGACGGGUGAGGAAUACAUCGGAAUCUACUUUUUCGUGGGGGAUAACGUAGGGAAACUUACGCUAAUACCGCAUACGACCUACGGGUGAAAGCAGGGGAUCUUCGGACCUUGCGCGAUUGAAUGAGCCGAUGUCGGAUUAGCUAGUUGGCGGGGUAAAGGCCCACCAAGGCGACGAUCCGCAGCUGGUCUGAGAGGAUGAUCAGCCACACUGGAACUGAGACACGGUCCAGACUCCUAAGGGAGGCAGCAGUGGGGAAUAUUGGACAAUGGGCGCAAGCCUGAUCCAGCCAUACCGCGUGGGUGAAGAAGGCCUUCGGGUUGUAAAGCCCUUUUGUUGGGAAAGAAAAGCAGCAGGUUAAUACCCCGCUGUUCUGACGGUACCCAAAGAAUAAGCACCGGCUAACUUCGUG